UCUUGCAUCUGUCACCUGAGUUUGGGACUGAGUGUGUUUUGAUGUCUUUUUUCCUUUGGGUGAGUGAGGCAUGCUUGGUGUGUUUUUUUGCAGUUUUUCUUCCCUCCCUUCUCUCAGUUUUUUGAAUCCUGUCUAACUUCCUGAGUUGGCACUAGCUGCACCUGCUGGUAAUCACGCACCUGUUCCUGAUCUGCCAUCCCUACCUCUUCUUAAGGAGAGACCAGACUUCCAUUCCCUGCUGGAUUGUUAAGUUGUGCACCAUUGCCUGCCUACCUGCCAGUUCCAAGUCUCUGGAAGCCAAGAUCCAACCCUCCCAGCCACACUCCAGCCAGCCACGCCAGCCAGCCCUCAUGUUCCAACUGCUCGGAAGGAGACUCCCUGCCACCUGACCCUGCCUCAAUCAAUAAACUGUUUGACUGCUG
Long non-coding RNA from Micropterus dolomieu (smallmouth bass), 422 nucleotides. RefSeq lists it as uncharacterized. The transcript has 2 exons. NCBI's taxonomy places the organism in Eukaryota, Metazoa, Chordata, Actinopteri, Centrarchiformes, Centrarchidae. The record is from RefSeq and is a predicted model, not a curated record.